RNAcentral lists this ribosomal RNA (374 nucleotides) under uncultured organism. Its description in RNAcentral is "partial 16S ribosomal RNA". It matches the Rfam family "Bacterial small subunit ribosomal RNA", at positions 527 to 896 of the family's 1533-position model. The record is from RNAcentral.
GUAGGUGGCAAGCGUUGUCCGGAAUUAUUGGGCGUAAAGCGCGCGCAGGCGGUUCUUUAAGUCUGAUGUGAAAGCCCACGGCUCAACCGUGGAGGGUCAUUGGAAACUGGAGAACUUGAGUACAGAAGAGGAAAGCGGAAUUCCACGUGUAGCGGUGAAAUGCGUAGAGAUGUGGAGGAACACCAGUGGCGAAGGCGGCUUUCUGGUCUGUAACUGACGCUGAGGCGCGAAAGCGUGGGGAGCAAACAGGGAUUAGAUACCCUGGUAGUCCACGCCGUAAACGAUGAGUGCUAAGUGUUAGGGGGGUUUUCCGCCCCCUUAGUGCUGCAGCUAACGCAUUAAGCACUCCGCCUGGGGAUACGGCCGCAAGGCUG